GUCAGAGUGUAAAUGAGAGAAUGUGCAAAAAAACAAAUUUUCUAAUUUUUUAUAUAGACUGGUUUCAGUGUGAGCAUACAUCAGUCUGAAGAAAAAAUUUGGAUGCUCUAGCUCUUAUAGUCUCUGAGAACUAGCGGACAAACAAGACGGACAGGUUGUAUGUAACCCAUAGAAGGAACCGCCUCCUCUUGAUCAGCAUCAAUAGCCGAGUCGAUUGAGCCUUGUCUGUCUGUCCAUGAAGAAACUAUAUAAGGAGGUCUCGUUGGCAAAAAUAAGAUGAACGUGCGAGUGAAAAGUGCGAGUAAGUGUGAGGGCAACGACAAUGGAGUGUGCUGAUUAACCAUUUGAAGGCAAUGUGAAAAAAAAACAUAAUAAUUGUUUCAUAAUUUAAUUUUUAAAAGUUUGCUGUCUGUGUUUUGUCUGUGUUUUGAAAAUAUAAACAUGUUGAAAAAAUUUGAAAAAAAAUUGUAUCCGCAACCAACCUUUCGCGUCGACAAGCAAAAGAGCACUGAGAAUUGGGAAAAGCAGCGAGUAACUCUGCCACCGACGAGACCUCCUUAUAUAGUUGCUUUAUGCUCGCGACUUGGUGUCUUAGGUGGCGGAGGUGUACAUACAUAUGUGUCUGGCUCUAGCUCAAGGUAAAAUUAAAUGUAGCAGGAAAAAGAAUAAAGGUAUGCAUGUAGGAAAUGAAGGAAAGAGAGAGACACGAAGCGGUCGUAGUUUUUUCGUGUCGUCGUCUGCAAAGAGCGGUCAUCGGCUCUGAGAGAGCCGACAGCGAGAAGGAGAGAUCAGUCGAACUCGCCAGUCUUACUCAAGCAGGCACGCAUCAAAUUGUAAACGCGCAUACUUAAGAAUGCCCUAAUGUAACAAAUGUAAACUUGGAGCUAAUUUAAGAAAUAUAAGUUCAGCAUUACUUAAUAAAUGUUCACAUUGAAAUCAAGCAAUUAUAAAACAACCACAUCCAUGCGUGUAUGGGCUUCCUGUGUAUGCGCCUCAGCGCCACGCUUGAUUAUGCGUUUGCAUGCACAUAAAACCAAAAGUCAAACACGGGACAAACCUCAACCCCUCCUGAUAACCAAUGGCAGGCAUAUUUACAGGAAAAGCCAUGACGGCUUUUGGGUGCUGAUAGCAUGUGUUCCGGGCUCCCCAACGCAAAAUCUAGGUGUACCUUUUUAGCCUUUAUGCGAACAUUCAGAGGGUUAUUGUGCAAGAAAAUGUAAGUCCCGUGUGUACGCCAUUUAUAAAUAAUCGAACUGAUAUAUGUAUGUACAUACAUACUUAUGUAUGUACAUGUGUAGGUAAUGCGUAAUUGCUAAAUUUUGCCAUUUCCACAUUGAUAUUGAAAUAUCAAAGUACGAUGAUUGAAUGAGUGCUUUUUGAAGUACGAUUGUUAUUUUGUCGAGCUCCAGGAUUUCCACACAAAAUAUCCGCGCAAAGCCUGCAAGUCGAGGCAGAGUGGCUUCACGAACGGAGUUGCCGGACAGCAGAGGAUCGAGUGUGAGGCUACCAUAUGGUGAACCGGUUAAAAGCUGCGCGGAGAUUUCAAAAGUCUAAGUCAAUAGCCCAUAGCGGCAGGGAUGGAGGAGGAGGGAAAGUUGGCUUUCGAGCGCAAGACGAGAGUUCCCCACCGCUGUGGUAGACGCCCAGGGGCACCUUGAUGAUAGAGCAUGCGAUGGAAAAGGAUCUCACUUAUUCCUCGAGACUGGUUCCUCGCAAAAGGAGGCAGAAAGCCGAAUGAUGAAUUGAAUUUACAGCUGACAAACCCACCAUGUCCAGAAGUUUUUUUUUUUUUUUUUUGCACAUUCUCACUCUAAUUCGUCUGGUGUGGAAAGCGAGCUAAAAGAGCCUGUUGGCGUGAGAAGUGAUGAUGUAGAUGACACAUGUGGAAAAAAUUUAAAAUAUGAAAAAAUCCACUAAGGUUACCUAAGACUGAGUACACACGUUCCUCGUCUUUUAUGAUUAGACUGUUAUCAGUCCCUUUUAUCAUAUGCAUGUACAUACAAACGCUAUGUAGCACGCUCUGUUAGCUCGCCCCGCUCCAUGCACUGCAAAUUAAUUUCUUCAUUCUGGCUAUAAUAUUGAUCCAUACAGCAGGUUUUAUCCCCUUUUUUUAAAGACACGUGUAUCAGUGUGAUAUCACAGCAGUCCGGAGGCAAAAUUUGGUGGCUCUAGCUCUUAUGGUCUCUUAGAACUAGCCGACAAACAUGUUGGAAAGAUGGACGGACAGACUGACAGACGGACAGAAAGACAUAUUAUAUUAUAUUGACUCGGCUACUAUUCAGAUAAUUUACAGAUUUAACACAUCAUUUCGGCUAUGAGAAUUAAAAAGAAGAAUGCGAAAGCACCGAAUCACAUUGAGCCUGAAUUGAAGCCAUAAUACUAUUAAAGUAAAUUGACUUCAUCCCCGCCGUAUACCACAGGACUCUUUACCACCCUCUCCGUCCAUCCCCUUCGCAUCAUAAUAAAU
This 2467-nucleotide long non-coding RNA is filed under the name Drosophila guanche. Lineage: Eukaryota; Metazoa; Arthropoda; Insecta; Diptera; Drosophilidae. The record is from RNAcentral.